AGUGAACGCUGGCGGUAGGCCUAACACAUGCAAGUCGAACGGCAGCACAGUAAGAGCUUGCUCUUACGGGUGGCGAGUGGCGGACGGGUGAGGAAUACAUCGGAAUCUACUUUUUCGUGGGGGAUAACGUAGGGAAACUUACGCUAAUACCGCAUACGACCUACGGGUGAAAGCAGGGGAUCUUCGGACCUUGCGCGAUUGAAUGAGCCGAUGUCGGAUUAGCUAGUUGGCGGGGUAAAGGCCCACCAAGGCGACGAUCCGUAGCUGGUCUGAGAGGAUGAUUAGGCAAAACGGAAAUGAGGCACGGGCCAGACUCCUACGGGAGGCAGCAGUGGGGAAUAUUGGACAAUGGGCGCAAGCCUGAUCCAGCCAUACCGCGUGGGUGAAGAAGGCCUUCGGGUUGUAAAGCCCUUUUGUUGGGAAAGAAAAGCAGCAGGUUAAUACCCCGCUGUUCUGACGGUACCCAAAGAAUAAGCACCGGCUAACUUCGUG
Molecule: ribosomal RNA, 492 nt
Filed under: uncultured bacterium
Lineage: Bacteria
Description: partial 16S ribosomal RNA
Rfam family: Bacterial small subunit ribosomal RNA
Source: RNAcentral